CGAGCAAUGCCUCCUGCUCCUCUCGAUCCCCUCGACGUACGAUCUGUGAUUGCAGACGCACGAGAUCGCCGCAGCCGCUGCUCCUCCUCUCCCGGGACGCAGCCGCCACCGCCGAACCAGGGAGACGCCAGCGACCGUCGCUGCCGUCGCGGAUCACCAGGAAGCCACCGCCACCGUCGCGCCUCGGAUAUGUCGCGGAUCACCGGGACGCGGCCGUCGCGGAUCAGGAACACCAGGACACCGCCGGCGGCGGCCCCUCGGAUACCGGCAACCGGCGGCGAUUGAGACCAACGAGGCGGCACCACACCCCUGGUACUUCCCUUCCCCAUCCGCCAAUCCUCUACCCCCUCCCCCCCUCCUCUACAAAGGCCCGUGCGGCCCUGUCCCUACGACCUCGCCGGCCACGACCAGGGAUGGCUGUGCAUCCCGACGCCUCUCUUCUCCAUUGAUCCCCCAUCUCCUCAAGGUGAAUCUUCUCCAGAAGGUACCCCUCUCCUCCCCGACGAGUACUCGCUUCCUUACAGGCAGGGGCGGAUCCACCAUGGGACAUGGGUGUACAGAUGCACAUCCAAAUUCUUUUGCCAAAAAUUCGUAUAUAGAGUGGUUGCUGCACUCGCUUUUGGAUGUGGAUGCAAGUUGGGAACUCAUUCAGUGAUUUGAGGGUGCAGGUAGAGAUGAUGCUGCGGAUGGGAUGGGAAGAUGCGUGUGUGCUAGCUGCCAUUGCAGGGACUUUUUAUUUUUCGGAUAGUUCAGCGUCUUAUUACGAAUCUGAUAGUGCUAUCUGCCACACAUACACCAUGUUACGAAUCUAUUUACAUGCGACUCAGAGAAAGAAUUGCUUUGCAGGCUGCCAACAUCACGAAUUUCAUACUUAUGGAGUGGAGCCACCAAACUAUUUAUGAGGAAAUAUGUUGAAGCACCGAAUAUAUUCCAUUUGCAGUGGACAAACAGAACAACACAACACAUAAGCAGAGGAAAGACAUGGUUGCUCUUGCUUCAUCUAAAUAGGCCGUCUGGAAUGCCAUGAGACCAGGUUGUACUAUCAUUUUGAAUUUGUUUACUAACACCACAACUACCACAUCCUCGCUAAACGACAGAGGUUGCUAGCAACUGCACGUGGAAAGAUUGAAUGUGAUAUUCUGUCUACUAAUCAAUAGUGUAUUACUAAAACUACAUAUUGAUGACUUUUUAAACAACAUAUAGUAUUGUCCCCAGUUCUGCUUGAUUUGAUUUGUAUUUCCCAUCAGUUUUGUGUUUUGUCAGAGAAUGGUUUUUCUUUACCUACGGUAGUCCCUGUACUCAGGUAAAUCCUUUUGCAUCAUUUCACUAUUGGUUCUGUCGUAAUUGUAUUAGAUUGGGAUUGCAACAUGUGGGCUCCAACAAACAUAAUUUCAAAAUUGCACGUUAUUUGUAUGACAUAAAACUAAAUGAGAUAUCACUCAACUCACAUGAACUUUGGAUAACAUUGUAGUUAAACAUUGAUUACUUGCAAUGCAUUAGCAACCCCAAAAUGUUAGAACUGAAUCUUGAACGCUUGUAACAAAAUUUUACCAUCCUCAAGAAUUUAAAGAGAAAGAAAGGUUUGCACUUACAUUCCUGUUAGUCCACUGCCAAUUCAUAGUAUUGUUAGGAUUUCUGGGAUCCUACAUUUUGACUAUUUAGCUGAUCCCAAGUUAUUUAUAUAGUUUUAUCCCAUUACAUCAGAUCUUUUUGGUUGCACGUAUUAAUUUACUGAUUGUGUACUGGAAGCAAUUUACUGACUUGUGUAGUAUUUAGCUGAUCCAAGGUUAGGCUUUUAAGUUUUCUCUCAUUACACCAUUGCAUUUUAGAAUUUUGUAGCUAAAAGUUUCUAUUAAAUUGGUGCCCGUAUUAGAGGGAGGCAUCGGUUAACUAAGCAUAUCGUCGCAUGUAUAGAGACCUCCAGUCCAGCAUGUCAAGGUUGC
Molecule: RNA transcript, 1943 nt
Organism: Triticum aestivum (bread wheat)
Lineage: Eukaryota; Viridiplantae; Streptophyta; Magnoliopsida; Poales; Poaceae
Gene name: kinesin-like protein KIN-4C
Exons: 5
Source: RefSeq, a predicted model, not a curated record